UGAGACAGGUGCUGCAUGGCUGUCGUCAGCUCGUGUUGUGAAAUGUUGGGUUAAGUCCCGCAACGAGCGCAACCCUUAUCCUUUGUUGCCAGCGAUUCGGUCGGGAACUCAAAGGAGACUGCCGGUGAUAAACCGGAGGAAGGUGGGGAUGACGUCAAGUCAUCAUGGCCCUUACGAGUAGGGCUACACACGUGCUACAAUGGCGCAUACAAAGAGAAGCGACCUCGCGAGAGCAAGCGGACCUCACAAAGUGCGUCGUAGUCCGGAUCGGAGUCUGCAACUCGACUCCGUGAAGUCGGAAUCGCUAGUAAUCGUGGAUCAGAAUGCCACGGUGAAUACGUUCCCGGGCCUUGUACACACCGCCCGUCACACCAUGGGAGUGGGUGCAAAAGAAGUAGGUAGCUUAACCUUCGGGAGGGCGC
Molecule: ribosomal RNA, 422 nt
Filed under: Pantoea sp.
Lineage: Bacteria; Pseudomonadati; Pseudomonadota; Gammaproteobacteria; Enterobacterales; Erwiniaceae
Description: bacterial SSU rRNA
Rfam family: Bacterial small subunit ribosomal RNA
Source: RNAcentral